Molecule: long non-coding RNA, 287 nt
Organism: Dermacentor albipictus
Lineage: Eukaryota; Metazoa; Arthropoda; Arachnida; Ixodida; Ixodidae
Source: RefSeq, a predicted model, not a curated record
CGGAAAAAUAUGUGAUCUCGAAACGAAAAAUGCAGCCGAGGCAAAGGUGCAAUGCAAUGUGCCAGGCACCGUUGUUCGAGGCCUCAGUGUCACAUGAAACUGUGGAAGCUUGCACAUCUAGUCUCCUCAGUGCAAUAUGAGAGGACUGUCCCAGUUGGUGCCUCCAUAGAAAAUGAAUCGGCCUGAAUGCCUGUGCAAGAAUCACAACCUGGCUGCUCUAAAGGUAAAUGCAUAGCGCAUACAGGAAAGAAUUGGUUUUAUUGGGUGCUUUGUUUUCACUUGUUUGU